AAGUCGUAACAAGGUUUCCGUAGGUGAACCUGCGGAAGGAUCAUUACUGAGAGUACCGGGCUCUGCCUGGCUACUUUUACCCAUGUUUUAUAGUACCAAAAGUUUCCUCGGCGGCUCUGCCCGCCGGUCGGACUCCAUUCAAACCCUUUGUAGUUGCAGUCAGCGUCUGAUAAACAUAAUAAUUACAACUUUCAACAACGGAUCUCUUGGUUCUGGCAUCGAUGAAGAACGCAGCGAAAUGCGAUAAGUAGUGUGAAUUGCAGAAUUCAGUGAAUCAUCGAAUCUUUGAACGCACAUUGCACCUCUCGGUAUUCCGGGAGGUAUGCCUGUUCGAGCGUCAUUUGUACCCUCAAGCUCUGCUUGGUGUUGGGUGUUUGUUCCGCCUUUGCGUGUGAACUCGCCUUAAAACAAUUGGCAGCCGGCGUACUUGCUUCGGAGCGCAGCACAUUUUGCGUUCAGAUCAAUGUACUCUAGCAUCCAAGAAGCCUUAUUUAACGCUCUUGACCUCGGAUCAGGUAGGGAUACCCGCUGAACUUAA
RNAcentral lists this unclassified non-coding RNA (538 nucleotides) under Mycocentrospora acerina. Its description in RNAcentral is "sequence contains ITS1, 5.8S rRNA gene and ITS2". The stretch from base 187 to 340 matches the Rfam family "5.8S ribosomal RNA". Lineage: Eukaryota; Fungi; Ascomycota; Dothideomycetes; Pleosporales. The record is from RNAcentral.